This 253-nucleotide ribosomal RNA is filed under the name uncultured bacterium. RNAcentral's name for it is "partial 16S ribosomal RNA". It matches the Rfam family "Bacterial small subunit ribosomal RNA", at positions 524 to 776 of the family's 1533-position model. The record is from RNAcentral.
UACGUAGGGGGCAAGCGUUGUCCGGAAUCAUUGGGCGUAAAGCGCGCGUAGGCGGCCCGGUAAGUCCGCUCUGAAAGUCCAGGGCUCAACCCUGGAAAGCCGGUGGAUACUGCAUGGCUAGAGUACGGAAGAGGCGAGUGGAAUUCCUGGUGUAGCGGUGGAAUGCGCAGAUAUCAGGAGGAACACCAAUAGCGAAGGCAGCUCGCUGGGACGUUACUGACACUGAGGCGCGAAAGCGUGGGGAGCGAACAGG